RNAcentral lists this long non-coding RNA (660 nucleotides) under Homo sapiens (human). RNAcentral describes it as "non-protein coding lnc-HS6ST1-6:1". The record is from RNAcentral. Lineage: Eukaryota; Metazoa; Chordata; Mammalia; Primates; Hominidae.
CAAAUCGUGUGAGCAGUGUGGAUGCCGACAACAGUGCUCGCGACCCUGCAGGUGUCCCUGCUGCCGUUCUCCACAGAUGGUUUCAUGCUGGCCCAUUCACCAGGGCCACGUCCUUCCUCACAUACCUGAGACUGAUGCUUUCUCAAAUGAUGCUGCAAGGACCCUGGCCCACAUCCAUCUCCCAACUAAGGCCCAGACAUCCAGACUCAUCACCACAGUCAAGCAGGAGCCCUGGAAUCAGGUGAGGCUCUAUGAUGGAGAAGGAGUCAACUGAACCUGCAUGGCCCCACAAGGAGCCAGAGGGAAUGUGCCUAGAGCAAGGAGAUACAACCUUAUGUCUGCUGCAAACAACCCUUCCUGACAGCACAGCUGGGACCCACAUGCAAAAUCCCUUUCUACCCCUCUGACAUGGCACCAAAGGGGCCACAGAGCCCUGGCAGCCUGGUCUAAGUGCCCAGGCCUUGGGUCCAGCUAUUGUGGGGAGCUCAGGGCAAGGUCCCUACCCCCAUCUCCGUGUGCCCAGAGCUAGUGUACCAGGCACAGAGUGGCAUUCAAUAUAGACUUGCUGAACUGAGCAGAGCCGGCCUCCUGGGAACUGCUGCCAGCAUUCCCUAUCUCCUGUUGUGGUCCCUGUGUAGUGGCACUGAGGACAAUGGAAAG